CGCCGCCCCGCCCAUAUACCCGGCGCCGCCCUAGCUCCGUGCGCGCCGCAGACUCCGACCAACUACGCGGCGCUGCCUUGACCACCUGCAUCCCGCCUCCUAUCUCCCUACGUGUCGUCGGCGUUGACCAGCUGAGCGCCGCCGCCACACCAAGAUCCAUGCUGGAGGUCCACUACCUGUCCGGGUCUAAUCUCCCGUGCUCCUCCCCCCGAGUUCUUCGCUUCCUCUGUCGCCGUAAGCCAGCCACGGUGAGCGCCGUCCCUCCCCGUCAACUCUCUCCGACCUUCCCCAUCAACUCUCUCUGACCUUCCCCGCACCUCUCCUAGCUGCAGCGCACGAUGCUUCGGGGCAUCCCAGGUUCCUCUCCAAAAACACUCGUGCGUAGUGCUCCCAUGAAAAUCCUCUCGUGUGUGCAAAGCUAUGUCAUCCAACUACUAUGGCUAAAUCUGUUUAGCAGUUUUUACUCUUUGAACUAGCUGACGAACAUGCUCCUACAUAUGGAUGUGUUGCUCAUGUAAAAAUGUGUUAACUGGACUUCACAAUGUUGACCGAACUGCAGGGAUGUCUGUGUCUCAUUUACGGUAAAAUUUCUUGUUUUCCCCUUUUACAACCAUUGAGCUAAUUUUGAGAUAUCCAGAGACAUUCCAUGAACUUCUACAACUACCAUAUGUCAACUCCUACUACGGCUAUACACCCGGUCACUUGGUUUGCGUGACUUGCUGCUACUAGCUACCUCCUCUCCAGGUGCUGACGAGGAGCCGGGCCAUCACCAUCCCCGCAUGCGUGCAAUCAGUCCAGCUGCACCGAGGAAUGCAUGCACUUGCAGCCAAGAGUGGACUACCAGUCCAUGUUCAAGUUCUGCCCUUUCUGUGCAUCCACCCCUGUGAUUGCUGCAUCUCCAGCGGCUAAUCCCCUAGUUCCAUGUUUCUUUGGAGAAUUUUUUUGUAUGACUUUGGUGAAAGUUGUAUUGUGUUUGUACAGAUUUUGGUGCAGAGAAGACCGUAGGAAACCUAAAAACAGUACAUGUAUUUAGUGCAGAUUUGGUGCCAUCAACAUGUUUCUGGUUAUGUCUAUGGUAGCUAACGUAGCUUUAUCCUUUGACCAAAUUUUUGCAAGCAACAAAAAUUCUUACAUGUGUAAUAUAUAAGUUCCAAUGUGAGAAUACCUAUACAGAGC
Molecule: ribosomal RNA, 1176 nt
Filed under: Triticum aestivum (bread wheat)
Lineage: Eukaryota; Viridiplantae; Streptophyta; Magnoliopsida; Poales; Poaceae
Description: partial small subunit ribosomal RNA
Source: RNAcentral